RNAcentral lists this ribosomal RNA (507 nucleotides) under Kocuria rosea subsp. polaris. RNAcentral's name for it is "bacterial SSU rRNA". It matches the Rfam family "Bacterial small subunit ribosomal RNA", at positions 1 to 522 of the family's 1533-position model. Lineage: Bacteria; Bacillati; Actinomycetota; Actinomycetes; Micrococcales; Micrococcaceae. The record is from RNAcentral.
UGGAGAGUUUGAUCCUGGCUCAGGACGAACGCUGGCGGCGUGCUUAACACAUGCAAGUCGAACGAUGAUCUCCCGCUUGCGGGGGUGAUUAGUGGCGAACGGGUGAGUAAUACGUGAGUAACCUGCCCUUGACUCUGGGAUAAGCCUGGGAAACCGGGUCUAAUACUGGAUACGACCCUUCAUCGCAUGGUGGGGGGUGGAAAGGGUUUGACUGGUUUUGGAUGGGCUCACGGCCUAUCAGCUUGUUGGUGGGGUAAUGGCUCACCAAGGCGACGACGGGUAGCCGGCCUGAGAGGGUGACCGGCCACACUGGGACUGAGACACGGCCCAGACUCCUACGGGAGGCAGCAGUGGGGAAUAUUGCACAAUGGGCGGAAGCCUGAUGCAGCGACGCCGCGUGAGGGAUGACGGCCUUCGGGUUGUAAACCUCUUUCAGCAGGGAAGAAGCCACAAGUGACGGUACCUGCAGAAGAAGCGCCGGCUAACUACGUGCCAGCAGCCGCGGUA